AAGCGGUGGAGCUAUGUGGUUUAAUUCGAAGCAACGCGAAGAACCUUACCAGGUCUUGACAUCCCUGACAACCAAGAGAUUGGGCGUUCCCCUUCGGGGGACAGGGUGACAGGUGGUGCAUGGUUGUCGUCAGGCUCGUGUCGUGAGAUGUUGGGUUAAGUCCCGCAACGAGCGCAACCCUCGCCUCUAGUUGCCAGCAUUCGGUUGGGCACUCUAGAGGGGACUGCCGGCGACAAGUCGGAGGAAGGUGGGAUGACGUCAAAUCAUCAUGCCCCUUAUGACCUGGGCUACACACGUGCUACAAUGGGCGGUACAAAGGGCUGCGAACCCGCGAGGGGGAGCGAAUCCCAAAAAGCCGCUCUCAGUUCGGAUUGCAGGCUGCAACUCGCCUGCAUGAAGCCGGAAUCGCUAGUAAUCGCGGAUCAGCAUGUCGCGGUGAAUACGUUCCCGGGCCUU
RNAcentral lists this ribosomal RNA (456 nucleotides) under uncultured Geobacillus sp. RNAcentral's name for it is "bacterial SSU rRNA". It matches the Rfam family "Bacterial small subunit ribosomal RNA", at positions 927 to 1382 of the family's 1533-position model. Lineage: Bacteria; Bacillati; Bacillota; Bacilli; Caryophanales; Anoxybacillaceae. The record is from RNAcentral.